UACGUAGGGAGCAAGCGUUGUCCGGAAUUACUGGGCGUAAAGGGCGCGUAGGCGGGGAUUUAAGUUAGAUGUGAAAACACCGGGCUCAACUUGGUGACUGCAUUUAAAACUGGAUUUCUUGAGGGCAGGAGAGGAAAGUGGAAUUCCUAGUGUAGCGGUGAAAUGCGUAGAUAUUAGGAGGAACAUCAGUGGCGAAGGCGACUUUCUGGGCUGUACCUGACGUUGAUGCGCGAAAGCGUGGGGAGCAAACGGGAUUAGAUACCCCGGUAGUCCACGCUGUAAACGAUGAAUACUAGGUGUAGGGGGUAUCGACCCCUUCUGUGCCGCAGCUAACGCAACAAGUAUUCCGCCUGGGGACUACGGUCGCAAGACUAAA
RNAcentral lists this ribosomal RNA (376 nucleotides) under uncultured bacterium. RNAcentral describes it as "bacterial SSU rRNA". It matches the Rfam family "Bacterial small subunit ribosomal RNA", at positions 524 to 898 of the family's 1533-position model. The record is from RNAcentral.